GAUGAACGCUGGCGGCGUGCCUAAUACAUGCAAGUAGAACGCUGAAGCUUGGUGCUUGCACCGAGCGGAAGAGUUGCGAACGGGUGAGUAACGCGUAGGUAACCUGCCUCUUAGCGGGGGAUAACUAUUGGAAACGAUAGCUAAUACCGCAUAAAAGUCGGCAUUGCAUGAUGUUGACUUGAAAGGUGCAACUGCAUCACUAAGAGAUGGACCUGCGUUGUAUUAGCUAGUUGGUGAGGUAACGGCUCACCAAGGCGACGAUACAUAGCCGACCUGAGAGGGUGAUCGGCCACACUGGGACUGAGACACGGCCCAGACUCCUACGGGAGGCAGCAGUAGGGAAUCUUCGGCAAUGGACGGAAGUCUGACCGAGCAACGCCGCGUGAGUGAAGAAGGUUUUCGGAUCGUAAAGCUCUGUUGUAAGAGAAGAACGAGUGUGAGAGUGGAAAGUUCACACUGUGACGGUAACUUACCAGAAAGGGACGGCUAACUACGUGCCAGCAGCCGCGGUAAUACGUAGGUCCCGAGCGUUAUCCGGAUUUAUUGGGCGUAAAGCGAGCGCAGGCGGUUAGAUAAGUCUGAAGUUAAAGGCUGUGGCUUAACCAUAGUACGCUUUGGAAACUGUUUAACUUGAGUGCAGAAGGGGAGAGUGGAAUUCCAUGUGUAGCGGUGAAAUGCGUAGAUAUAUGGAGGAACACCGGUGGCGAAAGCGGCUCUCUGGUCUGUAACUGACGCUGAGGCUCGAAAGCGUGGGGAGCAAACAGG
RNAcentral lists this ribosomal RNA (765 nucleotides) under uncultured Streptococcus sp. Its description in RNAcentral is "bacterial SSU rRNA". It matches the Rfam family "Bacterial small subunit ribosomal RNA", at positions 28 to 776 of the family's 1533-position model. Lineage: Bacteria; Bacillati; Bacillota; Bacilli; Lactobacillales; Streptococcaceae. RNAcentral also lists the same sequence under 1 other name. The record is from RNAcentral.